Molecule: ribosomal RNA, 483 nt
Filed under: uncultured bacterium
Lineage: Bacteria
Description: partial 16S ribosomal RNA
Rfam family: Bacterial small subunit ribosomal RNA
Source: RNAcentral
GACGAACGCUGGCGGCGUGCUUAACACAUGCAAGUCGAACGCUGAAGCGCAGCUUUUGUUGGGUGGAUGAGUGGCGAACGGGUGAGUAACACGUGAGUAACCUGCCCCCUUCUUUGGGAUAACGCCCGGAAACGGGUGCUAAUACUGGAUAUUCACUGGUCUUCGCAUGGGGGUUGGUGGAAAGGGUUUUUCUGGUGGGGGAUGGGCUCGCGGCCUAUCAGCUUGUUGGUGGGGUGAUGGCCUACCAAGGCUUUGACGGAUAGCCGGCCUGAGAGGGUGACCGGGCAUGAUGGGAUGGACGGACGGAUCAGGAUUCUGCCGGGGGCAGGACUGGGGAAUGUUGCAGCAGGGGGGAAAGCCUGAUGCUGGGAGGCCGCGUGAGGCAUCGAGGCCGUGGGGUGGAGGACCUCUUUCGGUUAGGGUCAAGCUGCAACAGUGGUUGUGGUGAGGGUUGUGGGUAAAGAAGGGCCGGCUAAAUACGUG